Molecule: long non-coding RNA, 675 nt
Organism: Oxyura jamaicensis (ruddy duck)
Lineage: Eukaryota; Metazoa; Chordata; Aves; Anseriformes; Anatidae
Exons: 2
Source: RefSeq, a predicted model, not a curated record
AGCUGCUUCCUUAGGAGGUGUCUCAUUCUGGUCAUGAAUCCUAGAAUUUCAUCCUUCAGAAAUAGCAAUUGCUCUUAUUUUCUGAAGAGUUGGAAGUAAAUAUCUCGAGCACACAAGAACAUCUCUUUUUUUGCCAAGUCUCUUAACGUCUAUAGUCUCUCCACCCUUUGGUGGACUCUCUUGUCAUUACUCUUUUUUUUUUGUUGUUGUUUUUAAAUAGUUUUAUAAGAAUGAUUACCAGGUUUUAAUUAAGUAAAUUUAUCUAUGGUUAUAGUGGUGGUUUUUACCUAAGUUCUUGGAUUCUGCUAUUUGAUGUUCUUCAUGCAAAAUCUGAAAUAGCACUUUUAUUUAACAAACAUAGUCUUUCAAAAAACACUUAAGUAAAUGGUUAAACUCCCCCUUUUUUUUUUUUUUUUCCCUUUUCCUCUUGCCUAUGUGUUUAUGAGCCUUGCUAAUAUGAGGAAUGUGAUGAUAAUAUUAUUCAUAUAUAUAUAUAUAUUUUUGUCAGCUACACAUUUCCCCAGAUCUGUCUUGCAUCAAUCACUCUGAGCCAAAAUCUGUGAUUUCUAAUAAGUAAAGUUCUUGACUCUACAAGAAGUUUUGCUCAAUUUAAGACCUGAAGCAUUUGGCCUGUAUUUUUUCCUGUAUUAAAGAACCCCAUCAUGUUUACAUGAA